RNAcentral lists this ribosomal RNA (252 nucleotides) under uncultured bacterium. RNAcentral's name for it is "partial 16S ribosomal RNA". It matches the Rfam family "Bacterial small subunit ribosomal RNA", at positions 524 to 776 of the family's 1533-position model. The record is from RNAcentral.
UACGGAGGAUGCGAGCGUUAUCCGGAUUUAUUGGGUUUAAAGGGUGCGUAGGCGGACGCUUAAGUCAGCGGUAAAAUUGCGGGGCUCAACCUCGUCGAGCCGUCGAAACUGGGUGCCUUGAGUGGGCGAGAAGUACGCGGAAUGCGUGGUGUAGCGGUGAAAUGCAUAGAUAUCACGCAGAACUCCGAUUGCGAAGGCAGCGUACCGGCGCCCAACUGACGCUGAAGCACGAAGGCGUGGGUAUCGAACAGG